GCAUUAUUAUUUGUAUGGAGCGUGUCCUAUCGAUCGAAGCGCACCGAUGGUGUUUCGCAGGGACAUGCUCUUUUCGCUGAUUUCCCUUGGCACAUUCCGUGCCGGAUGUUUAGGUGAAAUCGGGGUUCGCAAGUGAGGAGCUUUCCCAAAACACGGAGAGCCUGGGAAGGGAGAGGCCGAUUAUGACCCCUCGCUCCGCCGAGACAGUUGCGUUGGGUCGCGCACCACAUGCGGGCCGAGCCGACAAAGAUGAAUGCAAGCCUGACUUGCAUCACCGUUAGAUGAUACUACUUCUCGGGUCAUCCUGCUUGGCAGGUUUCGACAAUGAUCCUUCCGCAGGUUCACCUACGGAAACCUUGUUACGACUUUUACUUCCA
Molecule: ribosomal RNA, 377 nt
Filed under: Santalum album (white sandalwood)
Lineage: Eukaryota; Viridiplantae; Streptophyta; Magnoliopsida; Santalales; Santalaceae
Description: partial 18S ribosomal RNA
Source: RNAcentral